This is a long non-coding RNA of Mobula hypostoma (lesser devil ray), 865 nucleotides long. RefSeq lists it as uncharacterized. Lineage: Eukaryota; Metazoa; Chordata; Chondrichthyes; Myliobatiformes; Myliobatidae. The record is from RefSeq and is a predicted model, not a curated record. The transcript is spliced from 3 exons.
GACAAACUGAAUAAGUAUUUUGCAUCAGUCUUCACUGUGGAAUACACCAACUGUGUGCCAGAAAUUCAAGAGCGUCAAGGGGAAGAAUGAAAUCAGAGCAAGUGAUAGCAACAUCUGUGCAAUGCUGGACAGCGAAUAGACUGGAAGGUGUAACCUAACGAGCAAGGGACUGGCAUUCGAUGUGUUCAGCCUGUCUUUGUGGUUGGAGAAGCAGAAAGCUUGUAUUUCAUUUAUUCUUGGAGCAUUUGCAAUUUACACGUCACCAUCCCACAUGCUCUGAUGGUGACAUGCUCUGUAAACUGUAAAAUAGCCCAGCAGAUUUCCUUCUACUUUGACGCCUGGUAUGGAAACAUCAAUGCCCUCGAAUGGAAAAUCCUACAAAAUAUAGCGGAUAUGACCCAGUCCAUCAUGGGUAAAGCCCUCCCCACCAUUGAGCACAUUUACAUGAAGCGUUGUCACAGGAAAGCAGCAUCCAUCAUCAGAGACCCCCACCACCCAGAUCAUGCUCUCUUCUUACUGCUGCCAUCCGGAUGAAGGUACAGGAGCCUCAGGACUCACCAUACCAGGUUCAGGAACAGUCAUUACCCGUCAGCCAUCAGGCUUUUGAACCAAGAUGGAUAACUUCAUUUGUCCCAUCACUGAACUGUUCCCACAACCUAUGGGCUCACUUUCAAGGACUCUUCAUCUCAUAUUCUCAAUAUUUAUUGCUUAUUUAUUGAUGAUUAUUAUUUCUUUCUUUUUUGAUUUGUAUAGUUUGUUGACUUUUGCACACUGGUUGUACAUCUAAGUUGGUGUGGUCUUACAUUGAAUUUAUUAUGAUUAUUAUUCUAUUAUAGAUUUAUUGAGUAUGCCCACAAGAAAAUGA